AGGACGUUCCAGCCCUUCUAUCCUUUGCUGCACAUCUCUCAGUGUUCUGGUGUUCAGCUCUGGGCUCUCUGGGCCAUACAGUUUGUCUGCCGUCAAAACGCCCCUCAGUACUGUAAUGUGCUUCAGAGUGAAGGAGGAACAGACAUACUGAGGGUCCUGAGCUCACAUCCAGACACCCACAGUGAUGUAAAGAAUCUGACCGAAAACAUCCUGAAGAUCCUGGAGCGAAAUGUUCAUCCCACAAGCUCAGUGGAGGAUUUUCAUUGACGUCACAGAAAAAAAUAUGGAUUCGUAAAGGGAUGUGCCAUUUCAGGGAGACAUUUCAGAACAUUUUAGAUUCAACAAAA
Molecule: long non-coding RNA, 347 nt
Organism: Sinocyclocheilus rhinocerous
Lineage: Eukaryota; Metazoa; Chordata; Actinopteri; Cypriniformes; Cyprinidae
Exons: 3
Source: RefSeq, a predicted model, not a curated record